AUGCAAGUCGAACGAAGUAGCAAUACUUAGUGGCAGACGGGUGAGUAACAUGUGGGUAUCUUCCCUAUGGCCUGGAAUAACACGAGGAAACUUGUGCUAAUACCGGAUAAGUCUUUACGGAGAAAGCUUUAUGCACCAUUGGAUGAGCCCGCACUUGAUUAGUUUGUUGGUAGGGUAAUGGCCUACCAAGACUUUGAUCAAUAGCUGAUUUGAGAGGAUGAUCAGCCACAUUGGGACUGAGACACGGCCCAAACUCCUACGGGAGGCAGCAGUGGGGAAUCUUGCACAAUGGAGGAAACUCUGAUGCAGCGAUGCCGCGUGAGUGAAGAAGGCCUUUGGGUUGUAAAGCUCUUUCGUCGGGGAAGAAAAUGACUGUACCCGAAUAAGAAGGUCCGGCUAACUUCGUGCCAGCAGCCGCGGUAAUACGAAGGGACCUAGCGUAGUUCGGAAUUACUGGGCUUAAAGAGUUCGUAGGUGGUUGAAAAAGUUGGUGGUGAAAUCCCAGAGCUUAACUCUGGAACUGCCAUCAAAACUUUUCAGCUAGAGUAUGAUAGAGGAAAGCAGAAUUUCUAGUGUAGAGGUGAAAUUCGUAGAUAUUAGAAAGAAUACCAAUUGCGAAGGCAGCUUUCUGGAUCAUUACUGACACUGAGGAACGAAAGCAUGGGUAGCGAAGAGGAUUAGAUACCCUCGUAGUCCAUGCCGUAAACGAUGUGUGUUAGACGUUGGAAAUUUAUUUUCAGUGUCGCAGCGAAAGCAAUAAACACACCGCCUGGGGAGUACGACCGCAAGGUUAAAACUCAAAUGAAUUGACGGGGACCCGCACAAGUAGUGGAGCAUGUGGUUUAAUUCGAAGAUACGCGCAGAACCUUACCAACACUUGACAUGUUCGUCGCGACUUUAAGAGA
This 905-nucleotide ribosomal RNA is filed under the name uncultured marine bacterium. Its description in RNAcentral is "bacterial SSU rRNA". It matches the Rfam family "Bacterial small subunit ribosomal RNA", at positions 55 to 1008 of the family's 1533-position model. The record is from RNAcentral.